ACCAAGUAUGCCUAUGUAAUGAAACCUCAGUAAAGGUUCUGGACACCAAAGCGCAAGUGAACUUCUUUGGUUGACAGUACUCUGCAUAUUGUGGCACAUCAACAUGUCAGGAGGGUAAAGAGUCCUGAGGACAAGGAUGCUUCAUGUUUGGGACCCUCCCAGACCUUGACCUUUCACUGAUAAACUGGGCAUCCAAUUUGUUUUCCAUGAAAUUACUCCCCAGACUCUUUAAAUGUAUUCCUCUCAGCGCUGUUCUCUUGGAGCAUUCAUUUAUUUCUGAAAGCAGUAUUCAUCUGAUUGGUCUCUGCAAUCAUUGUUUCAGCCGAGCGUAUUCCCAAGGACAAAUCUAAGAGCACUAAUGUAGCUUUAUCUGAUUGAAGUGGCCUACUCUGUUGUUGCCAUUCAUGGAGCUCUCCGUCCAGCUCUAGUGUUCUCAAACAUGAAAAAUUCUGAGUUCAAAAUUAUGUUCAAUGGGAACUGAAAGUAGACUACAAAGAGGAUGCCUCCAGUCUCCUUUUAUACCUUCCCAAAAGAUGAUGUAAUACUUUGAACAGCCAAGAAGAGAACUGAAGGGUGGUACACUAGCUGUUGAGAAGAAAACUGAUGUGAAGAGGACAAGAACAAAAGCACGGAGACUAAUAAAUUAUUGCAAUACUCUGGAUCCCAGUUUUGUUCAGAGAGCGAAUGCCCAGGAAAAAUAUGCCCAGAAGCUCUCACAGCUAAAAGCCAUCAUGUGACUCGUACUGACUGAUGAGAUGGGAAUGGAAGUCUACCUGGAGGAUAAGCUGUAUGUUUUCACGUUAAAAAGAAAGACUUGGUGGGGCCUGCCUGUGACCAAGUGGUUAAAGUUCCCCAUGCUCUGCUUCAGCACCCUGGGUUCUCUGGUUCGGAUCCUGGGUGCAGACCUACUCCACUCAUCAGCCAUGCUGUGGAGGCGUCCUGCAUACAAAAAAUGGAGGAAGAUUGGCACAGAUGUUAGCUCAGGGCUAAUCUUCCUAAAGCAAAGUAAAAGGAGGAUUGGCAAUGGAUCUUGGCUCAGGGUGAAUCUUCCUCACCAAAAAAGAAAAAAGAAAAGAAACAAGACUUGGCUGGCUGCCCUUUCCCUUUUCUCCUUCUAUGGAGGAUGGAUGCCAUGCUAAUGGUGGUGGUGCAGAGGGUUAGAAAGCUGGAUGGUUGAUGAGUUUCUUGGGCACCUGCCCCAGCACUGCACUCUCUACCUCCAGAUUUUGAUUAAUG
Molecule: long non-coding RNA, 1236 nt
Filed under: Equus caballus (horse)
Lineage: Eukaryota; Metazoa; Chordata; Mammalia; Perissodactyla; Equidae
Description: lncRNA (ENSECAG00000047831.1)
Source: RNAcentral